RNAcentral lists this unclassified non-coding RNA (457 nucleotides) under Botryotinia sp. FBCC2326. RNAcentral describes it as "sequence contains 18S rRNA gene, ITS1, 5.8S rRNA gene, ITS2 and 28S rRNA gene". The record is from RNAcentral. Lineage: Eukaryota; Fungi; Ascomycota; Leotiomycetes; Helotiales; Sclerotiniaceae.
UUUGGGUUUUGGCAGAAGCACACCGAGAACCUGUAACGAGAGAUAUUACUACGUUCAGGACCCAGCGGCGCCGCCACUGAUUUUAGAGCCUGCCAUUACUGACAUAGACUCAAUACCAAGCUAAGCUUGAGGGUUGAAAUGACGCUCGAACAGGCAUGCCCCCCGGAAUACCAAGGGGCGCAAUGUGCGUUCAAAGAUUCGAUGAUUCACUGAAUUCUGCAAUUCACAUUACUUAUCGCAUUUCGCUGCGUUCUUCAUCGAUGCCAGAACCAAGAGAUCCGUUGUUGAAAGUUUUAACUAUUAUAUAGUACUCAGACGACAUUAAUAAAAAGAGUUUUGGUAUUCUCUGGCGAGCAUACAAGGCCCGAAGGCAGCUCGCCAAAGCAACAAAGUAAUAAUACACAAGGGUGGGAGGUCUACCCUUUCGGGCAUGAACUCUGUAAUGAUCCUUCCGCAG